AAUAGAAGGAAAAUAAUUAGCUGGGUGUGGUGGUGCGCCUGUAGUCCCAGUACUCCAGAAGCUGAGGCAGGAUGACGCCAGAGCACUGUAGCCCCCAAACCUGAUAGAACUGAACGGGAAAAAGACACCCUUUCUCAGAAACAGAACUAGACUUUUAAAGUCAGCAAGGAUAAUGAAUUUCCAAUGACAAUAUCAACCGUCUUAACCUAAUAGACAUUUAUAGAAUACGUUCCCAACGGCAGGAGAGAAAGAAAAAAGCAGACAGGAAGGGUGGGAUGAAGAAAGACAGCGAGAGCGCGAGCGCACACCAGUGGCCUAGGUCCUGCUCCAGGUUCUUAGGGGUAUUUUUAUUGAGCACCUGAUGUAUGGCCACACCCUCCUAGGGUGUAUACACUGAGCACUUGCUGUGUGGUCAGUAUAUUAGGUGGCUACUGGUGCCAAGACUUGUUUCUAAUCCCGAUAGGACCGCCUCAGCGACAAACACAAAGCCGAACUCCAGGGGCCCGCCUGGUCCAGCCCCGCGCGGCCUCCGAAGCCCGCGCGCGCCAACACCCUCUCGCCGGCAGCGCUGCGCAUGCGCACUCCGCGCGGCCCUCCCGCCCGCGGACUACAUCUUCCACAGGCCUCCGCGCGCAGUUUCUUUCCGGCUUCCUCGCUGGUGUCGGCUCCGAGAGGUGAGUUGGUCGCGUGCACUGAGGCAAUGGGCGCGGGGACGGCGCGGCCCUCCGCGUGAGUCGAGUGACGGCGACUGUGGAGUUUGUGGCGCUGACGGGGCAUCGGGCGCCCUGCCGCGUCCUCUGCUCUCCGGCGUCAGCGCUGCACGGUCCGGCGGCCCGGAAUGGCUCCGAGUUAGAGGCACGAGCCCGAGCGGAGGGGCCCUAAACAAAAAGACGCAGCCUGAGAACAACUGCAGGUCUCAGCAGCACAGCGUCCUCCCGGGGACACGGAGGUGAACUCGGAGGCAGAGUCCAGCCCGGUCUUCGUGCACUCUGGCCUUUCUCUCGGACACCGGGAAUGGUCAGCUUCUUUCCAGGCUCCCUCUCGUUUUCUCUGCUUUGGCUUGUCUGGAUUCUGUAGUUCUCCAAUAAAGAAGUCUUGAAAAAUACUGAGCAGUUCUUACAGUUCUAAAACCAUGGCCCAUAGUUCUGUAACAUUCAGGGAUGUGGCCAUAGACUUCUCACAGGAAGAAUGGGAAUUCCUGGACCCAGCUCAGAGGGACUUAUAUCGGGAUGUAAUGUGGGAGAACUAUAGCAACUUCAUCUCACUAGCAGGACCUUCCAUUUCUAAACCAGAUGAAAUUACCUUAUUGGAUGAAGAAGGAAAGGAACCCGGGAUGCUUGUGAGGGAAGGGACAAGAAGAUACUGCCCCGGUGAUUUGGAAUCCAGAUAUAGGACCAAUACUUUAUCUCCAGAAAAGGACAUUUAUGAAAUAUGUUCAUUCCAAUGGGAUACAAUGGAAAGAAUUAAAAGCUAUAGCCUUGAGGGCUCCAUUUUUAGAAAUGAUUGGGAAUGCAAAAGCAAGAUUGAGGGGCAAAAGGAACCACAAGAGGGAUAUUUUGGGGAAGUCAAAAUUACCUCUGAAAAAAUGACCACUUACAAAAAGCACAAUUUUCUUGCUGACUAUCAGAUAGUUCAUAAUGGAGAAAAGUUAUAUGAAUGUAAGGAAUGUAGGAAAACCUUCAUUCGUCGCUCAACACUUAGUCAACACCUGAGAAUUCAUACUGGUGAGAAACCUUAUAAAUGUAAGGAAUGUGGGCAGGCCUUUAGACAGCGUGCACACCUUAUCCGACAUCACAAACUUCAUACUGGUGAGAAACCCUACGAAUGUAAGGAAUGUGGGAAGGCCUUUACAGUGCUCCAAGAACUUACGCAACAUCAGAGACUUCAUACUGGUGAAAAGCCCUAUGAAUGCAAGGAAUGUGGAAAGUCCUUUAGAGUACAUCAGCAACUGGCUCGACAUCAGAGAAUUCACACUGGUGAAAAACCCUAUGAAUGUAAGGAAUGUGGAAAGACCUUUAGACAAUGUACACACCUUACUCGACAUCAGAGACUUCAUACAUCUGAGAAACUCUAUGAAUGUAAGGAAUGUGGGAAAGCCUUUGUAUGUGCUCCAGACCUUAGAGUACAUCAGAAAAUUCAUUUUGGUGAGAAACCUUAUGAAUGUAAGGAAUGUGGAAAGGCUUUUAGAAUAUGCCAACAACUUACUGUCCAUCAGAGUAUUCAUACUGGUGAGAAACCAUAUGAAUGUAAGGAAUGUGGGAAAACUUUUAGAUUAAGGCAACAACUUGUUCGCCAUCAAAGAAUUCAUACUCGUGAGAAACCCUAUGAAUGUAUGGAAUGUUGGAAGACCUUCAGUAGUUACUCACAACUUAUUUCACAUCAGAGCAUUCAUAUUGGUGAGAGACCUUAUGAAUGUGAAGAAUGUGGAAAGGCUUUUAGGUUGCUCUCACAGCUUACUCAGCAUCAGAGUAUUCAUACUGGUGAGAAACCUUAUGAAUGCAAGGAAUGUAGAAAACCUUUUAGACUGCUCUCACAACUGACUCAGCAUCAGAGUAUUCAUACUGGUGAGAAACCUUAUGAAUGUAAGGAAUGUGGUAAGGCUUUUAGACUUUACUCAUUUCUUACUCAACACCAGAGAAUUCACACUGGUGAGAAACCUUAUAAAUGUAAGGAAUGUAAGAAGGCCUUUAGACAACAUUCACACCUUACUCAACAUCAGAAGAUUCAUAAUGGAAUUUAAUACAAGAAAGCCUUCAAAUGUACAUUAUGUUACAAAACAUCUCAAAAUUCAUUUUUUGAGAAAAUUUGUGCUCAAAACUAAACAUAAGAAAUUUUAUAUUAAAGAGAGAAUACAUUGCUUUAAAAGCCUUCUGUCACCAUUUAAACACUAUUUUCAGCAAAUUCCUAUGAAAUAUUAAUGUAAUGAAUGUAGUAAAAUCUUUAGCCUUAUCUAUCAUUAUCUCCAUUUCACUAUUUUAUUACCAGUAUGAUAUUGUUAGACAAGAUACUUAAACUUUUGUGCCUCAUUUUGCUCACUUGUAAAAUGGUAAUAGUACUUAUGCAUUAGUUAUUUAUUGCUGUGUAAUAAAUUACCACAAACUUAGUAGCUUAAAAUAAUACACACUUAAUAUCAUAAUUUCUAUGGAUCAGGAAUCCAAGCAUGACUUAGUUGGGUCUUCUGCUUCAGGGUCUGUCACAAGGUCUCUGUUACAAAGUUUUAGCUAGGGCUGAGGUCUCAUCUGAAGGGUUGAAUAGGAAAGGAUCCACAUUCAAGCUAAUAUUGUUGCUCGAAUUCAUUUCCUUGAGGCCUGUUUUACUGAGAUUCUCGGUUUCUAGCUGGCUGUUGGCUGAAGGCUGACUCUACAGUUCCUUGCUGCAGUGGUCUCAUCAGCUUGGCUGUUUGCUUCAUCAAGGCAUACAAGCCAAGAAUGUGAUAGAAUCUGCCAACAAGAUGGAAGUUACAAUAUUGUGUAAUCUAAUCAUGGACGUGACAUCCUAUCACCUUUGCUGUCUUCUGGUCAAAAAUAUGGAGAUGGCACCACAAGGAAGAGGCCAAUCAGAUCCAGAAUGUAUACAAUUCUACAGAACAAAUGACCUGUUUUCUUCAACUAAUGAGUGACAUAAAAAAAAAAGGAAGGACAACAACCAUUAUCAGAUUAAAAGGGACUUAAGAGACAUCAACUAAACUUAGUAUGUAGGCAUUACUUGGACCUGGUUUGAACAAAACAGAAGACAUUUUGGAGACAGUAUGGGAAAUGUGGACAGGGACUGCAUAUUAAGUGAUAUUUAGAAAUAUUAAUUCUGUUAGGCAUAAUGUCAAUGUGUUUAUAAAAAAAAAAUCUUAUCUGUUAGGCUUACAUGCUUACAUAUGAAAUAAUAUGUAUCAGAUUUGCAUUAAAAUAGUCCAGCAAAAGAAAAAUAAUUGGCAAAAAAUGCUGGAAACUAGAUUGGUAAAAUGUUGAUAAUUAUUGGAGUGGUUUGUUCAUGAGAGUUCACUGUUCUAAUAUUCCUACUUUUGUAUGUGCUUGAAAUUUCAGUAAUAAAAUAUCUAAAAUCAAAACCAAAAUUAUAGACUACUUAGAAAUGGAUGCCAGCAUAUCUAACCUUAUCAGAUGUCACCAAAGUUCUAUGGGAAAUUAAUGCCCUUUAAUGCACUAAGGAAAUUUCACUUGUGGAUCCAGUCCUCAUCUUCACUUAUGCACAGUGCCAACACAGGGUCUGUUGUAUAGAUGAAUGUGUUGAAGGAAUGAAUAAGCAUUUGUGUCAAGAAACAGUACAAAAUAAACACAAGUAAAGAGAAGCCAAGUAGAGUAAAAAGUAGAAAUUAAAAGAAUAGACAAUAGGAGACUUGAUCCAAUAUUAAUAAUGACUAGAUUUUGGCAGGUCUAAUUACAGAAAAUAAAAUGAAAGAUAAUAUAUUUAGAGCAUUAACAAUGAUAAGAUACAACUAUAGAUUGAUUAUCAAGGAGAUAUUUUUAAAAAAUAAGGUAAUACUAUACACACACAUGCACAAACAUAUAUUCAUUCCAGUACAUGUAGAAAUUUGGAGGGAUUAUAUUUUUUCUAUAAGAAUGUUACUGUAAUUGACGCAAUGCUGUAAAACCCAAAUAGAUUAACAAAUGUGUGUGCAUAUGUGUAAAUUCUCUAUUAAAGAAAAAAUCUGAUACUUGUGCAGGUGAAAGCUUUAAGGAAUAGAUAAUCCUUAACAAGGUUUUACCAGUUAAUUCUGCAAAGCUAAAAUAAUCCUAAUAACGAACUGGAUGAAAUAGCUUCUAAAAAGCAAAAUCCAGACCAGUUUUAUUUAUGAAGAUUCUGUUCUUCAUGAUUCUAAAUGAGGUACAUUUAGAAUUUAUUAGAGCCUGUAGUCCCAGCUACUCGGGAGGCUGAGACAGGAGGAUCAUUUGAGCCCAAGAAUUUGA
Molecule: non-coding RNA, 4919 nt
Organism: Microcebus murinus (gray mouse lemur)
Lineage: Eukaryota; Metazoa; Chordata; Mammalia; Primates; Cheirogaleidae
Source: RefSeq, a predicted model, not a curated record